UGCAGAAUAGCAUAAUCAGGAUAGUGCGGAAGAGCUCCCGGGUAAGCUGCUUCAGAUUCCGGUUCGAGUCCGGGUUCUGCCCCAA
Molecule: transfer RNA, 85 nt
Filed under: Caudoviricetes sp.
Lineage: Duplodnaviria; Heunggongvirae; Uroviricota; Caudoviricetes
Description: tRNA-OTHER
Source: RNAcentral